Molecule: non-coding RNA, 502 nt
Organism: Drosophila takahashii
Lineage: Eukaryota; Metazoa; Arthropoda; Insecta; Diptera; Drosophilidae
Source: RefSeq, a predicted model, not a curated record
CCCUCCAAUAUUUGCCGGCGUUUCGGGCGUACCGCUCUCAUUCUUAUAAACACGCUCGUCGGGAAAGCAUCGCUCCCAAAAACACAAACAAAAUAAAAUAGAAUAAAAAACACGUAUGUGAGUAAAACGCGUCUCCCUAGAAUUUUAGAAACUACGCAGUUCGUUUAUUUAUUGGCCGACAAAUAAAAUAGCGCGUGGUCAGUUUAUAGUCACUUACAUAAUGCCCAUAAUACGAACAAUAAUACGGCGGAUAGCCGGCGAUUUUUGGCAACGACCUUACUGCGUCAUUGAUUUAAUAUUUAUUUGCUUAUCGGCCGAUUAGAAUUUCGUGAUAUUGGUGUUUGGUUACGAGUUAGUCAGGACCUAGGACAACCGUCGAUCUUAGUAGUGAGCUUAUCGCUGAUUGAUUGGAAAGUUUCCACUGACUUUUCACCAGGUUUCAAUUUUCCAGAACCCAAACGCAAUUCCCAAGGAAACGUUGUCAGAAACUAAACAACCCCUA